This 1564-nucleotide ribosomal RNA is filed under the name Ruminococcus sp. A254.MGS-254. RNAcentral describes it as "bacterial LSU rRNA". It matches the Rfam family "Bacterial large subunit ribosomal RNA", at positions 1285 to 2925 of the family's 2925-position model. The record is from RNAcentral. Lineage: Bacteria; Bacillati; Bacillota; Clostridia; Eubacteriales; Oscillospiraceae.
CGAGUGAGAAUGCCGGAAUGAGUAGCGAGAAUUAUGUGGGAAUCAUAAUGGCCGAAAAUCUAAGGUUUCUUGGGGAAGGUUCGUCCGCCCAAGGUAAGUCGGGAGCUAAGGCGAGGCCGAGAGGCGUAGUCGAUGCACAUACGGUAGAAAUUCCGUAACCACCGAAACUUAAGUUAGAGGGACACUUCGAGAUAGCGGAACCGCGGCGUUGGUAGACCGCGGCGAAAGGGACUGAAAUAUAGUAGGGAAGUCCGCGAUGCUCGGAGGCGAGAAAAGCUCUAAGGUAUGCUAAGGUGCCCGUACCGCAAACCGACACAGGUAGAUGAGGAGAGAAUCCUAAGGCCAACGGGAGAAGGGUUGUCAAGGAACUCGGCAAGUUGACCCCGUAACUUCGGAAGAAGGGGAGCCUCGAAAGAGGCCGCAGUGAAUAGGCCCAGGCAACUGUUUACCAAAAACACAGGUCUAUGCUAAAUCGAAAGAUGACGUAUAUGGGCUGACGCCUGCCCGGUGCCGGAAGGUUAAGAGGAGAUGUCAGGCAACGAAGCAUCGAAUUGAAGCCCCGGUAAACGGCGGCCGUAACUAUAACGGUCCUAAGGUAGCGAAAUUCCUUGUCAGGUAAGUUCUGACCCGCACGAAUGGCGUAAUGAUCUGGGCACUGUCUCGACAGCCCACCCGGCGAAAUUGUAGUACUGGUGAAGAUGCCAGUUACCCGCAACUAGACGGAAAGACCCCAUGGAGCUUUACUGCAGCUUAAUACUGGAAAUCGGUAAUUCAUGUACAGGAUAGGUGGGAGACGGAGAAGCAUGGUCGUCAGGUCAUGUGGAGUCGCCCUUGGGAUACCACUCUUGGAUUGCUGGUUUUCUAACCUGCGGCCGUGAAUCCGGUCGGGGGACACUGUUAGGCGGGCAGUUUGACUGGGGCGGUCGCCUCCAAAAAGGUAACGGAGGCGCUCAAAGGUUCGUUCAGCACGGACGGAAAUCGUGCAUUGAGUGUAAACGCAUAAACGAGCCUAACUGCGAGACCGACGGGUCGAGCAGUAACGAAAGUUGGAGUUAGUGAUCCGGUGGUAUGUGAGUGGAAAUGCCAUCGCUCAACGGAUAAAAGCUACCCUGGGGAUAACAGGCUGAUCUCCCCCAAGCGUCCACAGCGACGGGGAGGUUUGGCACCUCGAUGUCGGCUCGUCGCAUCCUGGGGCUGAAUUCGGUCCCAAGGGUUUGGCUGUUCGCCAAUUAAAGCGGCACGCGAGCUGGGUUCAGAACGUCGUGAGACAGUUCGGUCCCUAUCUGUUGCGGGCGUAAGAGAUUUGAAGGGAGCUGUCCUUAGUACGAGAGGACCGGGAUGGACGUACCUCUGGUGCACCAGUUGUCCUGCCAAGGGCAUAGCUGGGUAGCUAUGUACGGACGAGAUAAACGCUGAAAGCAUCUAAGCGUGAAACUCCCCCUAAGAUGAGAUCUCUCAUUCGAAAGAAGUAAGGACCCAGAGAGACGAUCUGGUUGAUAGGCGCGAGGUGGAAGUGCAGUAAUGUAUGGAGCUGACGCGUACUAAUAGUCCGAGGGCUUGACCU